RNAcentral lists this ribosomal RNA (354 nucleotides) under Ehrlichia ewingii. RNAcentral describes it as "bacterial SSU rRNA". It matches the Rfam family "Bacterial small subunit ribosomal RNA", at positions 95 to 484 of the family's 1533-position model. Lineage: Bacteria; Pseudomonadati; Pseudomonadota; Alphaproteobacteria; Rickettsiales; Anaplasmataceae. The record is from RNAcentral.
GUGGCAGACGGGUGAGUAAUGCGUAGGAAUCUACCUAGUAGUAUGGAAUAGCCAUUAGAAAUGAUGGGUAAUACUGUAUAAUCCCUGCGGGGGAAAGAUUUAUCGCUAUUAGAUGAGCCUACGUUAGAUUAGCUAGUUGGUAAGGUAAUGGCUUACCAAGGCUAUGAUCUAUAGCUGGUCUGAGAGGACGAUCAGCCACACUGGAACUGAGAUACGGUCCAGACUCCUACGGGAGGCAGCAGUGGGGAAUAUUGGACAAUGGGCGAAAGCCUGAUCCAGCUAUGCCGCGUGAGUGAAGAAGGCCUUCGGGUUGUAAAGCUCUUUCAAUAGGGAAGAUAAUGACGGUACCUAUAA